RNAcentral lists this unclassified non-coding RNA (2849 nucleotides) under Hevea brasiliensis (rubber tree). Lineage: Eukaryota; Viridiplantae; Streptophyta; Magnoliopsida; Malpighiales; Euphorbiaceae. The record is from RNAcentral.
GAAAAUUUGUCAAGUCAUACUUCAAAAGCGCUGCGUAUAUAACGGAGGCGCCUCCGCGAGCCUCUUCUUUCUACUCCGUUCCUUCUCGCCCAUUUUCUCGAGCACAGAAUUCUUCUACGCCAUCGGCGAUUUAGAUUAAUGUAGUAAAAACAAAUUCCAAUUUAACUUCAGGUGCCUCUUCCCCUUCUCUUCGGUUCUUCCGGUUUGGUAAGGAUCCGUUCUUCCUUUAUUUUCCCUGCUCUUAUGUUUUCUAUCCUUUUGUGCACUGAAACCCUAAUUUUUGCACGAAUCUUGAUCUCCUAGCUGUUGCUUCCAAAUUUGAUAUUUUUUCCUUUGCAAAAUGUUUCGGCUUUGAUUUCCAGAUUUUCUUUCUGGGUUUUCUGUACAGAAAUUUGGGCAUUCGUCUUGUAGUGUUUUUUGAUCAUCUAUGUUGUAAUUAGAUGGUCAUAAACAAUACAAACAUGUCUAAUUUCUUGUGAUUCCUGUAUAGCUUCUAAUUUGAACUCCCUUAAAAUCCAAAUCAAUUAUCGAAAUAUCAGUGUAGAAAAAACGAAGGGAAAAAAAAAAUGUCGUCUGCUGGUGUUGCUCUCAGUCCAAUUCACACGGGUUCCACACUUCCUUCUGAUUAUGUGAAUGCCCAACCACUCCCCUGCUCUGAUGAGUACAUCUUGAUAUUUCUCUCUGUUGGGGGCUCUAUGAGCCCAAUGCGUGUUUUAGAGUCUGAUUCCAUUGAAUAUGUGAAGCUACGGAUUCAGUCAUGUAAAGGGUUUGUUGUAAAGAACCAAAAGCUGGUCUGUGGAGGCCGAGAGCUAUCAAGGAGCAAUUCUCUUAUCCGUGACUAUGGUGUCACUGAUGGGAAUGUUCUGCAUUUGGUUCUUAGGCUUUCUGAUCUCCAGGUUAUAAAGGUUAAGACUGCUAGCGAUAAAGAAUAUACCUUUUCUGUGGAGCGAGGGAGAGAUGUUGGGUAUGUGAAACAACAGGUUGCUAAGAAGGAGAGGGAGUUUGAUGACCUUGAUGAGCAAGAGGUCGUUUGUGAUGGUGAGCCGCUUGAGGAUCAUUGGCUUAUUGAUGAUAUCUGUAAAUAUAAAAAUGAUGUCGAGGUUCAUUUUUUGGUGAGGAAAUCUGCAAAGGUUCGGCCAAGGCAUGUGAAUAAGAAUUUAGAAUUGUCUAUUGUGGCACCACAGUUGAAUGAAGAAGAGAAUGCUAGUAGGCAAUAUGAUGUUUGUGAAGGGAAUGGUGGGAGAAGUUAUGAAGUUGAUAGACAGAUUGUUCUGAGAAAGCCUCCUGAUAGAGAUUUUCUACUGGAACCAAUUAUUGUUAAUCCCAAAAUUGAAUUGUCCUCUGUGAUUUGGAAUAUUGUAAAUGCUACCUUUGACGGAUUGGAGGGUGGAAAUAGUCCAAUCAGAUCUAUGGAGGGUACUGGGGGGGCUUAUUUCAUGCAAGAUUCUUCUGGGCAGAAGUUUGUUUCUGUUUUCAAGCCAAUUGAUGAGGAACCUAUGGCUGUGAACAACCCUCGAGGGCUACCACUGUCUUCUGAUGGUGAAGGUUUGAAGAAAGGCACAAGAGUUGGGGAAGGAGCUAUGAAGGAGGUUGCAGCUUACAUUUUGGAUCAUCCAAAGAGUGGACGUCGAUCUUUGUCUGGCGAUGAGAAGGGCUUUUCUGGGGUUCCACCUACAGUUAUGAUUAAGUGCUUUCAUAAAGGGUUUAACCAUCUAGAGGAUAUAAAUGUCAAGAUUGGCUCCUUGCAGAUGUUCGUGGACAACAAUGGAAGUUGUGAAGAUAUGGGUCCCGGAUCUUUUCCAGUUAAGGAAGUUCAUAAAAUCUGUGUGUUGGAUAUAAGAAUGGCAAAUGCAGAUAGGCAUGCUGGGAAUAUAUUAUUGAGAAAAGAUGCAGAAGAUGGACAGACUAUGCUGAUUCCAAUAGACCAUGGAUAUUGCCUACCUGAAAGUGUAAGUAUUUCAUGCAUAACCUGCUUAUUAGUUUUUGGAAACUUAAUACUUAUUGUCUCUCCCUUUGUUGUUGGUUUAGCUUCAUUUAUCAUUUAUCUCUCCCUUUGUUGUUGGUUUAGCUUCAUUUAUCAUUUAUCUUUUACAUUGCUUGUUUCAAUUAAUUGAGAUUUGAAAUUAAACAUAUUUUGCAGCAGUUGAGGUUUUGGACCUCGAUUGCCACUAUUAGAUGUUAUUAUAUAUUGGUCAAUUUGUAGGCUUAAUCAUGUAUUCUUGCUUCUUGCAGUUUGAGGAUUGCACAUUUGAUUGGCUUUAUUGGCCUCAAGCUCGUCAACCUUUUGACUCUAGCACUGUUGAAUAUGUAAAAUCAUUGGAUGCUGAAGAGGAUAUUGCUCUUCUGAAGUUCCAUGGAUGGGACAUGCCUGUUGAAUGUGCACGCACACUUCGCAUCUCCACCAUGCUUCUGAAGAAGGGAGUGGAGAGGGGCCUCACCCCCUUUGCUAUUGGAAGGAUAAUGUGCAGAGAGACCUUGAAGAAGGUAUCUGUUAUUGAGGAGAUUGUCCAUGAAGCACAGGAUUCUGUUCUUCCUGGCACAGGCGAAGUUGCAUUCCUUGAAACUGUAUCGCACAUCAUGGAUCGUCGCCUUGAUGAGAUUGCCAGAUCUCUAUCUUGAUGGACUGCUAAAUUUUGUGGAUAACAUGUUUAUAAAUGUGUGCAUGCACAUUCGUUAUCGUACAUGUGCAUUUGUGGCAGGGAUGCUCAAUCGUUCCUAUAGUUUGUUUGCAUCUGAUUUCCUAUUCUUUCAUAUGAUUACUGGUAGAUUUUUUUUUUAAUUUGAUGGAACUUGGAACCUAGUCUUUUUAUCAUGAAUGUGGUUGGCUUCUAAAGUUAUUUCUGUAUUUC